GAUUCAGAAUGUGGUCGCCUGCAUUGGUGCUCGUCCUUUGGACUCUGUUGAUCCCAGGAUUGUUCGGUGAGUCUUUCCUUAGGCAGACAGACAGAUUUAAGUCCGUCUCUCUCGGCGGGACGGUGACCAUCGGCGCCAAGGGGAGUUCAGACAUUGGUUGGGAUCUCAGUUGGUACCAAGUGAAACCUGGGCAGCCUCCAAAACUGCUCAUCUACGCUGCAGAUGCUCUCUUCUCUGGAACGCCUUCUAGAUUCAGUGGCCAACAAUCUGGCUCUGACUACACUCUGACCAUCAGUGGUGUCCAGGCCGAAGACGUGGCCGAUUACUACUGUCUCGGCAAUCAUGGCGGUGGAGUGUUCACACAGUGAUUCAGAGGCGUACAAAAACCUUUGACUCUGAGAGAAGUGAAACUGGCCUCUGAGAAAGUGGCAGGGGCAGAAGACACUAAAUGAUAAGCAUGAGCGGUCCUCAAGCAGAAUAUUCGAGAUACUAAAGAUGACACAGUAUUUUUAUAUUUUUCAUUCAUUCAUCUUCCGUGCCUCAUUUUAUUUGAAAUAACUUCAGAAAUUCAUCUUUCAUGUUUUUUUUUUUUUUGUGUUUUUUUUUUUAUAUCUGUGAUUAUAUGUUUUCAUUUGA
Molecule: non-coding RNA, 636 nt
Organism: Corythoichthys intestinalis (scribbled pipefish)
Lineage: Eukaryota; Metazoa; Chordata; Actinopteri; Syngnathiformes; Syngnathidae
Source: the annotation of a RefSeq genome assembly